AGCAGCCGCGGUAAUUCCAGCUCCAAUAGCGUAUAUUAAAGUUGUUGCAGUUAAAAAGCUCGUAGUUGAAUUUCGGGGUUAGUAGGUUGGUCAUGCCUCUGGUAUGUAUUGAUCUCACUGAUUCCUCCUUCCUUAUGAACCGUAAUGCCAUUAAUUUGGUGUUGCGGGGAAUUUGGACUGUUACUUUGAAAAAAUUAGAGUGUUUAAAGCAGGCUAACGCUUGAAUACAUUAGCAUGGAAUAAUGAAAUAGGACGUUCGAUCUUAUUUUGUUGGUUUCUAGGAUUGACGUAAUGAUUAAUAGGGAUAGUUGGGGGCAUUAGUAUUCAAUUGUCAGAGGUGAAAUUCUUGGAUUUAUUGAAGACUAACUACUGCGAAAGCAUUUGCCAAGGAUGUUUUCAUUAAUCAAGAACGAAAGUUAGGGGAUCGAAGACGAUCAGAUACCGUCGUAGUCUUAACCAUAAACUAUGCCGACUAGGGAUCGGAUGAUGUUAAUUUUUAAUGACUCAUUCGGCGCCUUAC
This 520-nucleotide ribosomal RNA is filed under the name uncultured Glomus. RNAcentral describes it as "SSU rRNA". It matches the Rfam family "Eukaryotic small subunit ribosomal RNA", at positions 569 to 1091 of the family's 1831-position model. The record is from RNAcentral. Lineage: Eukaryota; Fungi; Glomeromycota; Glomeromycetes; Glomerales; Glomeraceae.